GACGAACGCUGGCGGCGUGCUUAACACAUGCAAGUCGAACGGAAAGGCCCUGCUUUUGUGGGGUGCUCGAGUGGCGAACGGGUGAGUAACACGUGAGUAACCUGCCCUUGACUUUGGGAUAACUUCAGGAAACUGGGGCUAAUACCGGAUAGGAGCUCCUGCUGCAUGGUGGGGGUUGGAAAGUUUCGGCGGUUGGGGAUGGACUCGCGGCUUAUCAGCUUGUUGGUGGGGUAGUGUCUUACCAAGGCUUUGACGGGUAGCCGGCCUGAGAGGGUGACCGGCCAAAUUGGGACUGAGAUACGGCCCAGACUCCUACGGGAGGCAGCAGUGGGGAAUAUUGCACAAUGGGCGGAAGCCUGAUGCAGCAACGCCGCGUGCGGGAUGACGGCCUUCGGGUUGUAAACCGCUUUCGCCUGUGACGAAGCGUGAGUGACGGUAAUGGGUAAAGAAGCACCGGCUAACUACGUG
This 468-nucleotide ribosomal RNA is filed under the name uncultured bacterium. Its description in RNAcentral is "partial 16S ribosomal RNA". It matches the Rfam family "Bacterial small subunit ribosomal RNA", at positions 28 to 507 of the family's 1533-position model. The record is from RNAcentral.